Erinaceus europaeus (western European hedgehog) is the source of this 476-nucleotide long non-coding RNA. RefSeq lists it as uncharacterized. The record is from RefSeq and is a predicted model, not a curated record. Lineage: Eukaryota; Metazoa; Chordata; Mammalia; Eulipotyphla; Erinaceidae. The transcript has 3 exons.
GGAUGACAGCACCAGUGAGGAAACCGGGCACUAGUGGUCCCUUCCUGCACAAGCUGUGCAGACAUGGCCAGUGUGACUCCCCAGUGGACUGGAUGCAGACAUGAGGAAGAGGCAGCUGGACAGGGACUCAUGGCUGGAGCAACUUCAGGGUAGCCCCAGCAUCCCAGCCCAGCCAGCCCCACCUGUUGGAAUGUUCUAUCUGAGGCUGCUGUGGAGUCUUCCCCAUAGGCCCUGGCCAGUGACACCUGAGACUCACCUCCUGUAGGUGAGGACCAGGGGCUUGAACCUGGGUCCUUGUGCACUGUAAUUUGAGCGCUUCACCAGGUGCAUCACCACCUGGCCCCAGGACUGUCCCUUCUACAGCUGGAACAAGAGGCUGUCACAGGGUGACACUGCUGCCAAUCAGGUGGGCUGUGCCUCUACAGAUGCCCAGACCAAGAUGGAGAAGCAGGUCUCAACAGAAGAAGAGGACUCAA